AACGAACGCUGGCGGCAGGCUUAACACAUGCAAGUCGAACGGGUGUAGCAAUACAUCAGUGGCAGACGGGUGAGUAACACGUGGGAACCUUCCUAGGGGUACGGAACAACUCAGGGAAACUUGAGCUAAUACCGUAUACGUCCGUGAGGAGAAAGAUUUAUCGCCAUUAGACGGGCCCGCGUCGGAUUAGGUAGUUGGUGGGGUAACGGCCUACCACGCCCACGAUCCGUAGCUGAUCUUAGAGGAUGAUCAGCGACACUGGGACUGAGACACGGCCCAGGCUCCUACGGGAGGCAGCAGUGGGUAAGCUUGGACAAUGGGCGCAAGCCUGAUCCAGCCAUGCCGCGUGAGUGAAGAAGGCCUUAGGGUUGUAAAGCUCUUUUACCAGGGACGAUAAUGACGGUACCUGGAGAAUAAGCCCCGGCAAACUUCGUGCCAGCCGCCGCCGUAA
Molecule: ribosomal RNA, 451 nt
Filed under: uncultured bacterium
Lineage: Bacteria
Description: partial 16S ribosomal RNA
Rfam family: Bacterial small subunit ribosomal RNA
Source: RNAcentral